GAUCAUAAAGGGAAUGGGACUUCCCUGUUAUAAACCGCUACCAUACAUAGCUGAUAGUUCCUACUUAACU
This 70-nucleotide non-coding RNA is filed under the name Bacteroidia bacterium. RNAcentral's name for it is "Fluoride sequence". It matches the Rfam family "Fluoride riboswitch aptamer (crcB RNA motif)". Lineage: Bacteria; Pseudomonadati; Bacteroidota; Bacteroidia. The record is from RNAcentral.